Molecule: ribosomal RNA, 452 nt
Filed under: uncultured bacterium
Lineage: Bacteria
Description: bacterial SSU rRNA
Rfam family: Bacterial small subunit ribosomal RNA
Source: RNAcentral
AACGAACGCUGGCGGCAGGCCUCAAACAUGCAAGUCUAGGGGGUGUAGCAAUACAUCACCGGCGGACGGGUGCGUAACACGUGGGAAUAUACCUUUUGGUUCGGAACAACGCAGGGAAACUUGCGCUAAUACCGAAUGUGCCCUUACGGGGAAAGAUUUAUCGCCAAAGGAUUAGCCCGCGUAGGAUUAGCUAGUUGGUGAGGUAAUGGCUCACCAAGGCUCCGAUCCUUAGCUGUUCUGAGAGGAAGAUCAGCCACACUGGGACUGAGACACGGCCCAGACUCCUACGGGAGGCAGCAGUUGGGAAUCUUGGACAAUGGGGGGAAACCCUGAUCCAGCCAUGCCGCGUGAGUGAUGAAGGCCUUCGGGUUGUAAAACUCUUUACGACGGGGACGGAUAAUGACGGUACCCGUAGAAGAAGCUCCGGCUAACUUCGUGCCAGCAGCCGCGGU